GACGAACGCUGGCGGCGUGCUUAACACAUGCAAGUCGAACGAAGAGCGAUGGAAGCUUGCUUCUAUCAAUCUUAGUGGCGAACGGGUGAGUAACGCGUAAUCAACCUGCCCUUCAGAGGGGGACAACAGUUGGAAACGACUGCUAAUACCGCAUACGAUCUAACCUCGGCAUCGAGGAUAGAUGAAAGGUGGCCUCUACAUGUAAGCUAUCACUGAAGGAGGGGAUUGCGUCUGAUUAGCUAGUUGGAGGGGUAACGGCCCACCAAGGCGAUGAUCAGUAGCCGGUCUGAGAGGAUGAACGGCCACAUUGGGACUGAGACACGGCCCAGACUCCUACGGGAGGCAGCAGUGGGGAAUCUUCCGCAAUGGACGAAAGUCUGACGGAGCAACGCCGCGUGAGUGAUGACGGCCUUCGGGUUGUAAAGCUCUGUUAAUCGGGACGAAAGGCCUUCUUGCGAAUAGUAGAAGGA
RNAcentral lists this ribosomal RNA (470 nucleotides) under Veillonella parvula. RNAcentral describes it as "bacterial SSU rRNA". It matches the Rfam family "Bacterial small subunit ribosomal RNA", at positions 28 to 468 of the family's 1533-position model. Lineage: Bacteria; Bacillati; Bacillota; Negativicutes; Veillonellales; Veillonellaceae. The record is from RNAcentral.